This 433-nucleotide ribosomal RNA is filed under the name uncultured bacterium. RNAcentral's name for it is "partial 16S ribosomal RNA". It matches the Rfam family "Bacterial small subunit ribosomal RNA", at positions 29 to 507 of the family's 1533-position model. The record is from RNAcentral.
AACGAACGCUGGCGGCAUGCCUAACACAUGCAAGUCGAACGAGACCUUCGGGUCUAGUGGCGCACGGGUGCGUAACGCGUGGGAACCUGCCCUUAGGUUCGGAAUAACUCCCCGAAGGGGGUGCUAAUACCGGAUAAUGUCUUCUGACCAAAGAUUUAUCGACUUUGGAUGGGCCCGCGUUGGAUUAGCUAGUUGGUAGGGUAAAAGCCUACCAAGGCUGCGUUCCAUAGCUGGUCUGAGAGGAUGACCAGCCACCCUGGGACUGAGACACGGCCCAGACUCCUACGGAUGGCAGCAGUGGGGAAUAUUGGACGAUGGGCGAAAGCCUGAUCCAGCCAUGCCGCGUGAGUGAUGAAGGCCUUAGGGUUGUAAAGCUCUUUUACACGGGAUGAUAAUGACAGUACCGGGCGAAUAAGCUCCGGCUAACUACGUG